Molecule: long non-coding RNA, 2279 nt
Filed under: Equus caballus (horse)
Lineage: Eukaryota; Metazoa; Chordata; Mammalia; Perissodactyla; Equidae
Description: lncRNA (ENSECAG00000028466.3)
Source: RNAcentral
UAGGUCGUUCCUGACUUCAGUUCUCCUCACAAGAAGACUAGCACUAUCCGUAGACAAGACAGCAUUGUGAUGAUUUUAGAACCUGGGAACGCGGCUGAAGCACCCUCCUGGACCACAGAUACUGAGGAGGACCACAAUAGAACUGUAAGAAGAGCGCCUACACUGACCGCACCUUCUGCCCUCGGGGCUGCACAAAAUCCACUGGAGACCUACGGUUUCUCCAGUGGGAAAAGAGACAAGGUGAACAUCGAGCUUCCCCAGUCUUGAGGGAUGCUUCCCAGGAGGGUCACUAGAGUCUCGCCUAAUGAGUAUCGCUGUGGGACUCUGUGGGGUUCUACCACCGGGAAUCAAAUGGAGACAGAGAAGGAGGCGGGGCUUACAACAGCCAGUACUCAGAACUCGGGGGACCGCGUGCCUGAUUGUAGUGGCGGCAGGCAGAGAUUCCAGCCAGUGGCUCUGCCCGUCCGCAGAGCCAAGUCAGUGACCCCAUCUGGCCAGGCUGCUCGGUUGGCAGUUCUGCCAGAUUUGGGUUCCCAUAAAAUGGGCUAUACUCGCCAGUGGAGCCUGGUCUACCACCCCGCCCAGGAAGGGAGGCAAAUUCGCAGCCCCGUCCAACUGUGGAGCAUAGGUUCCAGUGACGUCGAUUCCAGGAGCCUGGCCAGGGAACUAGGGCAGCCCUGGAGCCCAUUCUGCAGCCCCGCUUGGGCAGGGAGCCAAGCCAGCAGCCCUGCCCCAACUGUUGAGCAUAGUUUCUGGCCUCGCAUAACCAGGGAGCCUGAACAGUAACCCUGGGCAAACUCAGAGCCCAGCCCAGGGCACCACAGAGCUGGGGAGCCCAGCCUACAGCCCUGACCAGCAGCAGAGCAGCUUACCGCCUGCUGGAUUGCUGAAUAGUCUGAGGCCUCACCAGGCAGGGAGGCCAGCCAGUGACCUUGCCCAAUCGUGGAGCUUAGCCUGUGGCUAAACCCAAAAAAGGAGCCUGGACAGCGACCCCACGAGACCAUAGGGCACAGUCUCCAGCCCAACUUCCAGAUACAGCUGGAGGCUCCUCUGGACUGGUGAGCCAGGCCAGAGAACUUGCCCAGCAGCAGAGCACAGGCAGGGGUCUAUAGGACCUUGAACCCCCACCUACAGCUCAGUCCAACUCCUGGGUAUAGCCUGUAGCCCCACCUGAUUGCACAGCACAGCCUGAGGCCCUGCCUGUGGCCCCACAUGAAUCUGGAGUUCAGCCUGCAGCACCAUUUGGUCGGGGAACACAGCCUGAGAACCCACCCGGCCAGCAGUGAUUGUGGAGCCCAGCUCAUAGCCCUGCCCAAUCACGGAGUCCAACCAGUGGUACCCUCCUGCCAGGGAACACAGCCUGUGACCUGGUCCAACCAGAGGAAGAAGUCUACAUUGGUACGUACUGGAAGAUGAAGUGAGUUUGAUCCAAAGGUAUCCAUACGUGUCACCUGCUCCCAAGAGAAGUCCUGCCAUAUCCAAACCUGCUGUGUUAGAGAUGAGCUUUGAACCCUGCCAUUUGCUAAAAGGCCAUCCUCGUCUUCUUUCUCCAUCUCAGAGAGGGCACACCAGGGAUGAGGCUAUCAUUCCUCUUCAGCUCAACACUGUCAUCCCUUCCUCCUCAAGGAAAAUUUAUCUGUAUACUCUUUCAUGAAUCUACAUUCCCCCUAAAGCUUGAAAUUUUCUUCAGGGUUCCAGAUUUACGCACAAAAGUUUGGCUGUCCCAUCUCUAAGGAUACGUGCAGAAAAGAGUUAAACAUAGCAGGCCUGAGACUGCUAUCCUUAGAAAGGCCUGUUUGCAUGAUUGGCUCUUGGCUAGUAUUUAGGAACUUGGAUUUCUCGAAUAUUCCUACCAUUCCCUAACUAAUAAAAGAGUGUCUCACUGUGCCUAAUCUGUUUGUGCAAACAAUAUGGUUGAUGCAGAACACAUGCUUUACUUCUGGGAGUCUGGAAUUUUGGCAGAGGUACAGAGUGUCUAUGUGACCAGUCUCCAAUCAAAACUUUGGGCACUGAGUCUCUCAUGAGCUUUGCUCGUAGACAGCACUGCACAUGUGUUGUCACAAUUCACUGCUAGGGGAAGUAAGUCCUGUGUGACUGCACUGGGAAAGAACUCUUGGAAGCUUGUACCUGGUUUCCUUUGGACUUUGCUGCAUGUGCUUCUUCCCUUUUUUGAUUUUUCUUUGCAUCCUUUUGCUUGAAUAUAUAUUAGGCAUGCAUCCAACUAUCUGCUGAGUCCUGUGAGACUUCCUAGUGAAUCACUCAAACUGACAGUAUCUUGG